RNAcentral lists this ribosomal RNA (468 nucleotides) under uncultured bacterium. RNAcentral's name for it is "partial 16S ribosomal RNA". It matches the Rfam family "Bacterial small subunit ribosomal RNA", at positions 28 to 507 of the family's 1533-position model. The record is from RNAcentral.
GACGAACGCUGGCGGCGUGCUUAACACAUGCAAGUCGAACGGUAAACUCCGGUUGUGGGGGGGUCCUCGGGUGACGAACGGGUGACUAACACGUGAGUUACCUUCACUUCAGGGUUAGAUAACUUCAGUAAACUGGGGCUACUACCGUAUAGGAUCUCCUGCUGCAUGGUGGGGGGUGGAAAGUUUCGGCGGUUGGGGAUGGACUCGCGGCUUAUCAGCUUGUUGGUGGGGUAGUGGCUUACCAAGGCGUUGACGGGUAGCCGGCCUGAGAGGGUGACCGGCCACAUUGGGACUGAGAUACGGCCCAGACUCCUACGGGAGGCAGCAGUGGGGAAUAUUGCACAAUGGGCGGAAGCCUGAUGCAGCAACGCCGCGUGCGGGAUGACGGCCUUCGGGUUGUAAACCGCUUUCGCCUGUGACGAAGCGUGAGUGACGGUAAUGGGUAAAGAAGCACCGGCUAACUACGUG